AGCGAACGCUGGCGGCAGGCCUAACACAUGCAAGUCGAACGGAUCCUUCGGGAUUAGUGGCGGACGGGUGAGUAACACGUGGGAACGUGCCCUUUGGUUCGGAACAACUCAGGGAAACUUGAGCUAAUACCGGAUGUGCCCUUCGGGGGAAAGAUUUAUCGCCAUUGGAGCGGCCCGCGUCUGAUUAGCUAGUUGGUGAGGUAACGGCCCACCAAGGCGACGAUCAGUAGCUGGUCUGAGAGGAUGAUCAGCCACACUGGGACUGAGACACGGCCCAGACUCCUACGGGAGGCAGCAGUGGGGAAUCUUGCGCAACGGGCGAAAGCCUGACGCAGCCAUGCCGCGUGAAUGAUGAAGGUCUUAGGGUUGUAAAAUUCUUUCAGCGGGGACGAUAAUGACGGUACCCGCAGAAGAAGCUCCGGCUAACUUCGUG
Molecule: ribosomal RNA, 433 nt
Filed under: uncultured bacterium
Lineage: Bacteria
Description: partial 16S ribosomal RNA
Rfam family: Bacterial small subunit ribosomal RNA
Source: RNAcentral